This 208-nucleotide long non-coding RNA is filed under the name Mytilus galloprovincialis (Mediterranean mussel). The record is from RNAcentral. Lineage: Eukaryota; Metazoa; Mollusca; Bivalvia; Mytilida; Mytilidae.
AUUGUGUCACCUUGGGCGAGCGUACCAAAAUAGGAUUCAGAUAUACAAUUACACAAAUACCUAAUUUCAAUUGUUCGUUUGUUCAUUUUAUCUAUCUGAUUGUAAUAAAUUAUCAAUAACAAUUUGUGAAACUAAAAAUAAAGAUUGUUUCAAUGAUACCCAUAUGAUCAAAUAACAUAUAUGGUCAGCUCGUACUGGACCGUACGCG